GACGAACGCUGGCGGCACGCUUAACACAUGCAAGUCGAACGAGAGAAGAGAAGCUUGCUUUUCUGAUCUAGUGGCGGACGGGUGAGUAACACGUGAGCAAUCUGCCUUUCAGAGGGGGAUACCGAUUGGAAACGAUCGUUAAUACCGCAUAACAUAAUUGAACCGCAUGAUUUGAUUAUCAAAGAUUUAUCGCUGAAAGAUGAGCUCGCGUCUGAUUAGCUAGUUGGUAAGGUAACGGCUUACCAAGGCGACGAUCAGUAGCCGGACUGAGAGGUUGAUCGGCCACAUUGGGACGGAGACACGGCCCAGACUCCUACGGGAGGCAGCAGUGGGGAAUAUUGCACAAUGGAGGAAACUCUGAUGCAGCGAUGCCGCGUGAGGGAAGAAGGUUUUAGGAUUGUAAACCUCUGUCUUCAGGGACGAAAAAAGACGGUACCUGAGGAGGAAGCUCCGGCUAACUACGUG
Molecule: ribosomal RNA, 465 nt
Filed under: uncultured bacterium
Lineage: Bacteria
Description: partial 16S ribosomal RNA
Rfam family: Bacterial small subunit ribosomal RNA
Source: RNAcentral